Chenopodium quinoa (quinoa) is the source of this 1423-nucleotide RNA transcript. It is a transcript of the gene named aminoacylase-1-like, with no coding region annotated. The record is from RefSeq and is a predicted model, not a curated record. NCBI's taxonomy places the organism in Eukaryota, Viridiplantae, Streptophyta, Magnoliopsida, Caryophyllales, Amaranthaceae. The transcript has 7 exons.
UUUUGGGUUAUCCCAUUUCUCUCUCUUGCUUUUGAUUGUCUCAUCCUCACUCCUCAGCAUCCUCGCAUCAUCACCACCAGUUGAUGUUUGAACUGGCCGCAUGUGGCGAAUCCUUUUCCUACUCCCACCGCCGGCCUCCCACCCAAGCAUAUCCUAGCAGUUUCCCUUCUUCGAUCAACAUCUAUUCAAACCCUAAUUCCUAGAACAAUUCGACACCCACAAAUUUCUCAAUACCACCUCCAGAUUUUGAGCUUUCUCUGCGUUUUCCUCCAUUGAAGCUUACUCCGAGCUUCUAAUGAAGGCUUGAAGGGUACUCUGCGUUUUAUCUCUCCUCCAUUAAAGCAGCUCCUUGAGCAGCAAAUAUUGUCAUUGUUCAUAGAAGGGAUGAAAAAGUUCCACAAAUACUUGUAUGGUAUUGCUACCAAAGACGUCGAAUCAACUCUUCCACGUCUAAAAGAAAUUGUGAUGGAACCUCAGAUAAUAACUUUGGAGGAGGACCUAGAUAACGCGUCAAAGAAAGUAAAGAAUUGAGGGGCAGACCAGUAGUGACGUAGACGGGAUUUGAUAUCAAUGAGUCCGGGUUGUUAACUCCAGGGAAUGGCUGUUGAUUUCACGAUACUAGGCAUCAGUAAGGACUCAAGUCUCCUAAGGUCGAAAUGAUUGACAAUCUGUUCAAAACCUGUGUUUGACACUGAAGAUGAAGUUAUCAUGAGGGAGGCUCUACUUGAUUCAAUGUCUGUUAAAAGAAAGCCUGAACAUAUCAUCAUAUUUAGGAUAUGAAAGCGUGGGAAUGCAGUACUUAGAAGCUAUUAGGAAGCUGAAGGAUUCUGGUUUUGAGCCAAUUCGUACUAUUUAUUUAUCAUAUUUGCCAGAUGGAGAGAUUGGGGGACGUGAUGAGGCUGAGAAGCUGGCCGAUUCUGAUGUGUUUGAGAAAAUGAAUGUGGGCUUUGUGCUGGAUGAGGGAAUACCUUCACCAGAUGAGAAGUAUUUGGCGUAUAAUGGGGAGAGGUCGCCAAUGUGGCUGGUUAUCAAGGCUACUGGGGCACCUGGGCAUGGGGCAAAGCUGUAUAACGAUUUUGCAAUGGAGAACUUGAUGAAAAGUGUUGAGAGUAUCAGGGGCUUUUGUGCGUCGCAGAUUGAUAUGCUAAAAGCUGGCUUGAAAACUGACGUAGAGGUGAUUUCGGCGAACUUGGUAUAUUUGAGAGCUGGCACACAAACACCUAAUGUAAGUCCGUGUCUUUAUUGUGGCAGAGGGUCUAAUGGGUCUGGUCAGAUUGUAUUGAGUAGAAGAAAUUUUGUAGAUUUCAAUUUGAAAUAUUGAGGAAAAAUUGUAAAUAACAUGUGUCAUCAGUAAUGUAAAUUAGUUUUUCAAUAAAUUCUUAUUUUUUAAAAAAACUAAAAAAAAUCAUUACAUAAGUUAUUA